RNAcentral lists this ribosomal RNA (492 nucleotides) under uncultured bacterium. Its description in RNAcentral is "partial 16S ribosomal RNA". It matches the Rfam family "Bacterial small subunit ribosomal RNA", at positions 29 to 507 of the family's 1533-position model. The record is from RNAcentral.
AGCGAACGCUGGCGGUAGGCCUAACACAUGCAAGUCGAACGGCAGUACAGUAAGAGCUUGCUCUCACGGGUGGAGAGCGGCGGACGGGUGAGGAAUACACCGGAUUAUACUUUUUCGCGGGGGAUAAUGUAGGGAAACUUACGCUAAUACAGCAUACGACCUACGGGUGAAAGCAGGGGAUCUUCGGAUCUUGCGCGAAUGAAUGAGCCGAUGUCGGAUUAGCUAGUUGGCGGGGUAAAGGCCCACCAAGGCGACGAUCCGUAGCUGGUCUGAGAGGAUGAUCAGCCACACUGGAACUGAGACACGGUCCAGACUCCUACAGUGAGCAACAGUGGAAAAUAUUAGACAAUGGACGCGAGCCUGAUCCAGCCAUACCGCGUAGGUGAAGAAGGCCUUCGGGUGGUAAAACCCUUUUGUUGUUAAGAAAAUACAGCAGUUUAAUACCCCGCUGUACUGACGGUACCCGAAGAAUAAGCACCGGCUAACUUCGUG